GUAGUAGAAUAAGAGGAGAAGUAGAAGUAGAAGAAGAAGUAGAAGAAGAGGAGAAAUAGAAGAAGAGGAAAAAUUAGUUUAGGGUUACAAGAAGAAGAAAUAUUAUUUUUGUCAUUUAAUUUUGCUAUUGUAUAGUGUAUAUGCUUAAGUGUUAAUAGUGUUUCUUAGAUUAUUGCUUAAUUUUGCUAUUGUAUAUGCUUAAGUGUUAAUAGUUUAUUUUUUCUAUUGUAUAUGCUUAAGUGUUAAUAGUUUAUUUUUAGCAAGAAAAUUAAUAUAACUAGUUUAAUUUUGCUAUUGUAUAUGCUUAAGUGUCCGGGACUGGGCUCCGCCCGGCUGGUAUUUUAGAGUUUAGGUUCUAGCCAAGACCAGGGACUAAAGGUCCUCCUAUAUAAAAC
RNAcentral lists this long non-coding RNA (395 nucleotides) under Hordeum vulgare. Its description in RNAcentral is "long non-coding RNA (HVUL_LNC019560)". Lineage: Eukaryota; Viridiplantae; Streptophyta; Magnoliopsida; Poales; Poaceae. The record is from RNAcentral.